This is a non-coding RNA of Araneus ventricosus, 74 nucleotides long. NCBI's taxonomy places the organism in Eukaryota, Metazoa, Arthropoda, Arachnida, Araneae, Araneidae. The record is from the annotation of a GenBank genome assembly.
UUCAGUGGAAUCAGGUUUCGAACCUGGAACCCUCCAGCCCCAAAGUCGAAACCUUACCACUAGGCCACCACUGC